GGCCAGUCGGACCCAGCUUGGUGGGAGCUCGGGUUUCGAGAGGGUCUGGGAUCAGAGAAGCCGCUAGGAAAUGGGAAGUUUGCAAAUGAGAAGUGUGCGUGGAGCUGUGGUUUUAUUGUCACCCCUUUAUUAAACACUUCUGUACAUAUCGCUGUUAAAUAUACUGUCAUUGUUCCCAUCAACUUUGCCAGAUGAAGGUUUGCAGCCCGUGUUUCUAUGUCUUCCCCACCACACGCCUUCGCUCCGGUUGCACUCGCUUAUGGCCAGCCUUGUGAAUGCCGGCUCCUCCCGCCACGCUGAGCACUGAACAACAUAGUUCCCAGUGUCUUGGAGUUCAAGGUCAAUAACUUCAUGGAGUCAAGUAACUAUAAUACACAAUGGCAUAAGAGCUGUAAGAUGAAUGAAAAAUAUAUUAUAGGCUCACAGCGUGGUGAACAAUAAGUUUGGGGAAGUGAGUCCAUGUUUUAACUGGGCCUUAAAGGACAAGAGAGAUUUGUCUUUUUUUACUUCUGUUUUCUGUUGGGGCGGGGUGGUGGAGUUGCAAGGGCGCACAAAAGUCUGCAGUCCAAGGAGAGAUGUGAGAACUACCUCAGCCAAGUUGGAAAGGACUUCUCACAAGUUGCAGGUCCUUCUAGUUGUGGGAUGUGGGACACCGCCUCAACGUGGCCUGACGAGUGGUGCCAUGUCCACACCCAGGAUCCCAACCCUGGGCCGCCGCAGCGGAGGGCGCGAACUUAACCACUCGGCCACGGAGCCGGCCCCACGGGUAAUAAUUCUAAGGGUCAACAGUUCAACAUAUCUUGAAGCUAAAGUCGUAAUUUUAUAAUACUAAAUUUAAAAGCCUCUUCUCUCCUUGCCCAGUCCUCCACUCUUUCUCCACUCUCUUAUCAGAUUAAUUAGGUAUAACCCUAAGGCUGUUACCGUUCUUCAUAUACUAUGUAAUAUAACAUUAUGUCUAUAUAGUGGAAGGUGAUUACAAAAUGGAGUCACACAUGUCAAGGGCACCUAAGAUGGAGCCGGGAUGCCAUUAGGGAAGUGGGGCUUAUGCACGUCUUUACCCAGGUGGAAGGUAAACUUUUGAACUGUGCUUCACCACUAUCAUUCUGGUGUAAGUAAGAAAUAUACUGACUCCCAUGGAUAAGAACUUUCUGCCUUAGAGAUGGCCUUAGCAACCAACCACAUAUAGUCAAGAAGUAACAGUUGUUGCCAGGAUCAGUCACAAAUCUUGCGAAACAACCUACAUAGGUUUGCCAGAAUUUCUCUCUUUUUGCUUUUAUAAACUCUUGCCUCUUUUGUUCUCCUCAGGGCACUGUGGGGGCCUGGAAUUGGCCACCCCAACAUAUGUCUCUUUGGCAUGAUUAUUUGGCGCUGGUUACUUUGCAGACAGGAAAGCAACUGAAAAGUAGAAUUUACUUACCCUUUGUAAGAGACAUUUACAUUGUAAAGGAACUCUCCAUCUGUAAAGAUAUCUCCCUCUCUACCAAGAAGAAGGGGGGAUGAUGUUAUCUCUAGAAACUCUUAAUCAAUGGGGAAGGCAAGGACUAAAAUCUGUAUUUGUUUAUUGUGCUUGUCUGGUAACCUCCUGUAACUGACUACCCCUGCCCCCAACAUCCUCCUUUGUCUUUAGCUGGAUAUGAUAUUUAAGUUGGGGGCUUCAGCCAUUUUGGCGAGUUGCUCAGCUUGCCUGACCUCUCCCAUGUAUACAUGUUAUAAAGCUUUGUUUAAUUUUCUCCAGCUAGUCUGUCUCAUGUGAAUUUAAUUUGUUCUCUGGCCAGACAAACCCAGAGAGGGUAGAGGAAAUGUCUUCCUCCCCUACAGCACAUUUGAGUUUCUACUCAAAUCUGUGUCUCCCAAAUUACAAUUUUUAAGACCC
RNAcentral lists this long non-coding RNA (1873 nucleotides) under Equus caballus (horse). RNAcentral describes it as "lncRNA (ENSECAG00000054882.1)". Lineage: Eukaryota; Metazoa; Chordata; Mammalia; Perissodactyla; Equidae. The record is from RNAcentral.